CCCAUUUGCCCCUCUCCCUUUCGCACGAGCCGCCGCCCGUGCGUUGCCGUCGUCGCGUCUUCGUCGUCACCACGGUCUCCGACUGCCCCGCGCUGCACCACCACCUGCAGGAGCUCCGUCAUGUUCGUCUACGUCAUCUACGGCCAUCCGUUCAAGCUGGGCACCUCUACAUCACCGGGAUCGACUGCUUCGUCCCCGCGGCCGUCGGUGCCUCUCCGGCGAAUUUCGGCGCUCUCUGCUGCUCCCGGCAACCAACGAGCCUCCGUGAGCUCCCUUGACUACGAGACGGACGUCGCUGCUGCCUCGAUCGACUACGGUGUUGGCGACCCCUCCUUCUUGCGAGAGCAACCAGAUGUUGGAGCCCAGGAGCCAGACGCCACCGCCACCGACGACCCCUACUACACCGAGGGUGCCUACUACUACGUGCAGGCCGCUGACGACGACCAGGAGUAGUUUAGGAGGAUCCCAGGCAAGAGGCCUGCGCCUCUUUCGAUCUGUAUCCCAGUUUGUGCUAGCCAUUUUAUGGCAACUUAUUUAACUUAUGUCUGUACUCAGAUAUUGUUGCUUCCGCUAACUUGUUUAUGUCGAGCACUUGUAUUCGAGCCCUCGAGGCCCCUGGCUUGUAAUAUGAUGCUUAUAUGACUUAUUUUACUUUUAGAGUUGU
Molecule: ribosomal RNA, 664 nt
Filed under: Triticum aestivum (bread wheat)
Lineage: Eukaryota; Viridiplantae; Streptophyta; Magnoliopsida; Poales; Poaceae
Description: partial small subunit ribosomal RNA
Source: RNAcentral